UGGCAAUGAGGAGAAAUGAAAGGCCGGUCUUACGGCUGCCUCCCAUUCCCUUCCCGAUUCAAUUAGUCUCUGGUAUGGGACGGGAUGGUAGUAGCAUGAUGUGCAGUUCGGCGAAAGGUUCUCUGAGCCAU
Non-coding RNA from Oryza glumipatula, 131 nucleotides. Lineage: Eukaryota; Viridiplantae; Streptophyta; Magnoliopsida; Poales; Poaceae. The record is from Rfam.